Non-coding RNA from Capsicum annuum, 107 nucleotides. The record is from Rfam. NCBI's taxonomy places the organism in Eukaryota, Viridiplantae, Streptophyta, Magnoliopsida, Solanales, Solanaceae.
UAUUUGUAAUGCGGGUAAUCUCUUAGAAUUGACUUGAAUCUCUUCCAUGCAUGGUUGAGAUUUUUAUCAUAUCUUUGUAAGAAACCUAAGAUCUCACUUCUUAAAUU